UACGUAGGGGGCGAGCGUUGUCCGGAUUUAUUGGGCGUAAAACGCUUGUAGGCGGCCACAUCGCGUCGGACGUGAAAUCUCCCGGCUCAACUGGGAGGGGCCGUGCGAUACGGAUGGGCUCGAGGCCGGUAGGGGGACGCGGAAUUCCCGGUGUAGUGGUGGAAUGCGUAGAUAUCGGGAGGAACACCAGUGGCGCAGGCGGCGUCCUGGACCGGCACUGACGCUGAGGAGCGAAAGCGUGGGGAGCGAUCCGG
This 254-nucleotide ribosomal RNA is filed under the name uncultured bacterium. RNAcentral's name for it is "partial 16S ribosomal RNA". It matches the Rfam family "Bacterial small subunit ribosomal RNA", at positions 524 to 776 of the family's 1533-position model. The record is from RNAcentral.